This 483-nucleotide ribosomal RNA is filed under the name uncultured bacterium. RNAcentral's name for it is "partial 16S ribosomal RNA". It matches the Rfam family "Bacterial small subunit ribosomal RNA", at positions 28 to 523 of the family's 1533-position model. The record is from RNAcentral.
GACGAACGCUGGCGGCGUGCUUAACACAUGCAAGUCGAACGAUGAAGCUGGAGCUUGCUCCGGUGGAUUAGUGGCGAACGGGUGAGUAACACGUGAGCAAUCUGCCCUUGACUCUGGGAUAACUGCGGGAAACUGUAGCUAAUACCGGAUACGAGACCUGAAGGCAUCUUCGGGUCUGGAAAGAAUUUCGGUCAAGGAUGAGCUCGCGACCUAUCAGCUUGUUGGUGAGGUAAUGGCUCACCAAGGCGACGACGCGUAGCCGGCCUGACAGGGUGACCGGCCACACUGGGAAUGAGAAACGGCCCAGACUCCUACGGGAGGCAGCAGUGGUGAAUAUUGCACAAUGGGCGAAAGCCUGAUGCAGCAACGCCGCGUGAGGGAUGAAGGCCUUCGGGUUGUAAACCUCUUUUAGCAAGGAAGAAUCUAAAGUAACGGUACCUGCAGAACAAGCACCGGCUAACUACCUGCCAGCCGCCCCGGUAA